CCCUCUCUCAAGUUAAGAAAUAUAAAGCCACGGUUUUUGCAAACUCUCUCUCUCCAAACGUAAAUAUCAAAUUCCACCCCUUUAGUUUCUCUUUAUAUUUUUGAGGCUUCUAUAGAGUUAUAGUGAGUUAUGUUGAUUUUGUUUUGUGUGUGUGUGUGUAUAGAUGGUCAUAAUACUCCGGUAUUCCAAGAGAAGUUUGUGUUUUCGUUAAUUGAAGGUCUUAGAGAGAUAAGUGUUGCAGUUUGGAACAGCAAUACAGAAGACGAUUUCAUUGGCAGCGGAAAGGUCCAAUUGAGGAAGGUUUAUUCAAAGGGUUAAGACGACCGCACUUGGUGUCUGUAUACUAAUAGUGGGGUUUAUAUUUCUAAUCGUUGAUGAGAAAUUAAGGCUCAGUUGCACAAUAUGUGUAAAUUCUUCAGAAGGCUACUUUAAAUAGUAAGUCAAUGUGUCUUUUACAUUUGGGUAUUGGUUAAAAUUAUUUUCCAAUGAUUGUACCAAUAAAAGUGAAUGUGUAUAAAUUUUGUUUAAAUAUCCCGUGCAUCGCACGGGUUAGCGACUAGUAAG
Molecule: long non-coding RNA, 564 nt
Organism: Quercus robur (English oak)
Lineage: Eukaryota; Viridiplantae; Streptophyta; Magnoliopsida; Fagales; Fagaceae
Exons: 3
Source: RefSeq, a predicted model, not a curated record